AAAGCAUGCAGUGAAAGUCUGCUGUCACGUCAAUACUAAUACUGGAUUUUAUUUUUUGUUACAGUACUGGUAAAUUUGCAGCAGUUUGUUGGAUAUCAGUAGGACAUCACAUCGUCUUUGGCUUGGAGACUCUGACUGGGCCGUUUGUCCUUGGUUUGCAGACAUCUGUUUCCGAGCUUCUGACUGGGCCUUGAAGUACUCGCUCAUCUCACUGAAGUCACAUUUAUUCAGGUGAAGUUAAGAGUAGACAGCUGUUAAAGGAUGCAGCCGCACAGGAUGCGAGGCUCG
Molecule: long non-coding RNA, 288 nt
Organism: Pundamilia nyererei
Lineage: Eukaryota; Metazoa; Chordata; Actinopteri; Cichliformes; Cichlidae
Exons: 3
Source: RefSeq, a predicted model, not a curated record